Molecule: long non-coding RNA, 1149 nt
Filed under: Anser brachyrhynchus (Pink-footed goose)
Lineage: Eukaryota; Metazoa; Chordata; Aves; Anseriformes; Anatidae
Description: lncRNA (ENSABRG00000022885.1)
Source: RNAcentral
UUUUUUGGGGGGGGGGAGCUGGGCUUGGGAGAGCAGCUCCUGGGUAGGGCUGAGACCGGCAAACUCGUGACACGUGUGGGCUGGCCCAGCUCUGCGGGCACAGCAGCCCCGGUCUCAUUUUGAGGGUGGGCAUCAGCCGCGUCCCGUGGUGGUUAUGGGGACGGGUUGUGGGGCUGGGGCUGGGGCCGGCAGCCCCCCCUCACCGUGCCUGUCCCCCGCAGCCGGGCCAUCCGGGCGCUGCGGGACGAGGUGUGGCGGCUGCGGCGGAGGCUGGAGGAGAGCCUGCGCCGGUCCCGCAGCUACCCCGAGGGCAAGGCCGCCCCGCGGAGCGCCCAGGCCAGGAGGCAGCCGGCGGCGAGAGGACCCUCGUCCCCCCGGGACGCAGCGCCCGCGGGGGAGCCGAGCCCCCCGGCACGGGGCAGGGUGACCCCCGCCGCUGUGACAAGGGGCAGGUCGGCAUCGCUGCCGCGGGACAGGACCGAGCUGGACCUCAGCUCCGAGUCGGGCCGCUCGCUGGCUGGGCACGGGGACAGGCGGCACCAGGGCACCCCGGCCACACAGAAGCGCUCUCGGAGCCCCCCGGGCAUGGGGACGGUGCGGGGGCAGUACACAGGGACGCGGUACCAGGUGCCACCGCCCGCCACCCCGGCACCCCGAGGAGAGCCCAGCACCCCGGGGUGCCCCCAGUGCCGCGGGAACAGGACGGCAUCGGCCGGUUCCCCGGCGGGCGAUGCCGUGCGGCAGCCCCGGCAGAGCACCCCCAGGACACGGCGCUGCCCCACGUGCCGGGCACCCCGGGCCGUCCCCACGUCGGGCAGCAGGGACGGAGCCGCGCACGCAGAGCUUGGCACCGACGCCGCGUCCUCGCCGGGCUCCCGUCCCCGUCCCCGAGCCGAGCCGCCGGAGCAGCCGGGACUGUGGUACCUGGCGGGCGGCCCCCCCGUCGGCUACCUCGCCCCCGUCCCCCUUGUGCCUUACGCGCCCCCCCUGCUGUAAGGAUGCUCUGCACCGGGGGGGGGGGACACCAGCUUGUCCGGGGGGGCCACAAGCACCCCAGGGCUGCCCCACAUCCCCUGGCGUGGCCACGGACCCCAGGCACUGGGGCUGGGCUGCGGGAGGGGGGUCCCAGCAACUUCUGGGGGGGCUGAG